RNAcentral lists this transfer RNA (73 nucleotides) under Ameiurus melas (black bullhead). It matches the Rfam family "tRNA". Rfam says of the family: Transfer RNA (tRNA) molecules are approximately 80 nucleotides in length. Their secondary structure includes four short double-helical elements and three loops (D, anti-codon, and T loops). Lineage: Eukaryota; Metazoa; Chordata; Actinopteri; Siluriformes; Ictaluridae. The record is from Rfam by way of RNAcentral.
GGUUCUAUAGUGUGGUGGUCAUCACGUCUGCUUUACACGCAGAAAGUCCUGGGUUCAAUCCCCAGUGGAACCA